Prinia subflava (tawny-flanked prinia) is the source of this 2199-nucleotide long non-coding RNA. RefSeq lists it as uncharacterized. The record is from RefSeq and is a predicted model, not a curated record. The transcript is spliced from 3 exons. Lineage: Eukaryota; Metazoa; Chordata; Aves; Passeriformes; Cisticolidae.
AGUCAGAGAAAAAAGCUAUUAAAGACAGCUAAAUCAUAUCAACCUUAGAGGAGAUUCUUGCUCGGAAACCAAGAAGUGAGACCUGUUUGUAUGGUAGUUCAGCCAUCAGGAGGGUGAGGUCAUGUAUCCACACAAAACCCUCCCUGUCCCACACAGCCACCUCGCUGGGGAAGCUGUAUGGACACUGCUCCCCUGCCCUCUGGCCAGGGAGCUUGGGACAGCCUCCCAGGCAUCAGCAGACCUUUCAGAAUUCAGCAAAUACCUGAUCCUGCUCAGGGCAGUCUGCAGCUCCUCCUGAGGGGCAGCACAGGGACAGCUCCGAGCUCUGCUCCCUGGGACAGGGACGGCACCCAGGGAAUGGCUAGAGCUGGGUCAGCAGGCUCAGGCUGGAUUUUGGGAGCAGCUUCUUCCCCCAGAUGGUGCUGGGGCACUGAACAGGCUCCCCAAGGCUGCCAGAGCUCCAGGAGCAGCAUUUAGACACCACUCCCAGGGAUGGACGGGGGGGGGAUUGUUGGGGUGUCUGUGCAGAGCUGGGAGCUGGACUCAUGAUCCUCGUGGAUCCCUUCCAAAGGAGGAUAUUCCAUGAUCCUAAGAUAACUCCCCCCUCCAAAAAAUAACAUUACCCCUUGUUCCCUCUCCUACCUUGUGCCCAGAGCAGAAUCCCUGUCAAAACAUCCUCACACCUCAGCACAUGCUGAGCCCCCCUCAGCUGAACUGAGCACUGCCCAGUGAAACCCUGCAGGGCACAGCCAAAUGCUCUCCUGGGCACUGAAGAGCCCAGGCCCUGGCAGGAGGCUCAGCCCAGCCCAGCUGCACACCCCGAGUGCCAUCGAGUGGCAUCAGAGCUCAGUGCACAUGGGGAAUUGGGAAAUUGGGAAUUGGAAAAUGGCCCUUGGCACCCACUACUCCACUGCUGAGCUUGGGGCUACUCCCAAGAGGCCAAGACAGGUCCAAGGCCCCUCCCUGAGCUGCUCCAUGACCCAGCUCCAGGCUCUUCCUCCAGCCCUGCACAAGUGGCACCUCCCAGGAUGGAGAGAUCCACGCUCACCCCCCAGCAGAUCAAGCAAAUUCCUCUUUGGUGCCUUUUGCAGGAACUCACCCAGCUAAAAACUGAAUUUGCCUCCUUUCUGCUCACAGUGUCCUUGAGCACUCAGCCGAGUGAUUUUUUUUUAAAGGGAAUUAUUUGCAUCUAAGAUGUGAAUUGCAAAAAAUUGGCAGGUUUAAUCACAACAAGAACAAUAAUAUAAUUUACGGCCUUGUGACUCUCGAGCUGAUGCACUCUCUUCAAGCCCCAAGUGCUUCCCUCUUUACCAGACAAGAGCCAGCCCUGAUUUGCAGCGUUUGGAGUGACACCACCUUCCCCAGUCAUAGGUUGUCUGGUAAACACCAAAAUAGCAACAGCAUGUAAUCACCUAGUGAAAGAUUGCAUCAAAAUGCAAAUACACAGGAACACACUGGUGCUGCUGAAUUUAUUUUUUUGUUUGGUUGCUUGGUUUGGUGUUUCUCCCUGCUUUGUUUCAGUGCUUUCCUGCCAGCAGCCCUGCUACACAGAUACCUCAAAGGAUGGGGAUGGCAGUUUGUAAAUCCUGGAAUUUUCUGGCUAAAGCAGAGCUCUUUCCUAAAGGUCUGACUGCCCACUCAGUCAGGGACAUCAGGAACAGAGGGAAUCCCAACCAGUCUGACCUUUGGAGCAAAAGCAAGCACUGGAAUCCAGCCCUGUGGCUGCAGCUCCUCCAGAAAGGCCCCUGGUUUUGAUCUGAAGACACCAAAAGGUUACUGAGGUGCAGCCCCUUUCAGCAGUGUCAUAGGAGGGGUGACAUUGCCUCCGUGCUCAGUUUGCCUGGAUCAGAAGUGCUGCAGCUCCCAGUUUACCCAGGGCAUCCCACCCAGCCCUCAGCUGAGUUGCUGCCUCCCCAGCUCCUUCUCCACUCUUUGCAGGGUGCAGCCCUGCUUCUGCCAGGGGAUGAUCAGCCCUCUCAGCUACACUGGGACAGCCACAUGUUCAGCACUUUGUGACCAGUUUUAAUCAGAAUUAUCUGACAGAGCAUCUCCAGCCCAAGCUAAGCCGCCUUGCUCAGAGCAGGACUGUGCUGGCAGUGGUUACAGGGGCAUUUACUCCUGCCACUGUAACAGGACAAUGACCUCCACAAAGAGGACAGAUAGCCUGAGGCCAAGCAUUUUCAGCCUGGAUCACCACAA